RNAcentral lists this small RNA (172 nucleotides) under Arabidopsis thaliana (thale cress). RNAcentral describes it as "ATSL291830". Lineage: Eukaryota; Viridiplantae; Streptophyta; Magnoliopsida; Brassicales; Brassicaceae. The record is from RNAcentral.
AAUCAUAAGUUUUAAAAUUCUAAUGAAUUCUAAUGUUAUUGAACUAACGAUUUAAAAAUCCUACUAUAUUAUUUGGGAAGUACAUUUUAAAUGUAACCUUAAUUUUUGUAAGUAAUUACAUAGGUAUGCCAUUAGAAAUAAAAUUUUAAAGAGUAAAUUAAUUUAUCUUUUU